RNAcentral lists this ribosomal RNA (468 nucleotides) under uncultured bacterium. Its description in RNAcentral is "partial 16S ribosomal RNA". It matches the Rfam family "Bacterial small subunit ribosomal RNA", at positions 28 to 507 of the family's 1533-position model. The record is from RNAcentral.
GACGAACGCUGGCGGCGUGCUUAACACAUGCAAGUCGAACGGAAAGGCCCGGCUUUUGUGGGGUGCUGGGUUGCCAAACGGGUGAUUAACACGUGAGUAACCUGCCCUUGACUUGGGGUUAAUUCAAGGAAAUUGGGGCUAAUACGGGAUAGGAGCUCCUGCGCCAUGUUGGGGGUUGGAAAGUUUCGGCGGUUGGGGAUGGACUCGCGGCUUUUCAGCUUGUUGGUGGGGUAGUGGCUUACCAAGGCUUUGACGGGUAGCCGGCCUGAGAGGGGGACCGGCCACAUUGGGACUGAGAUACGGCCCAGACUCCUACGGGAGGCAGCAGUGGGGAAUAUUGCACAAUGGGCGGAAGCCUGAUGCAGCAACGCCGCGUGCGGGAUGACGGCCUUCGGGUUGUAAACCGCUUUCGCCUGUGACGAAGCGUGAGUGACGGUAAUGGGUAAAGAAGCACCGGCUAACUACGUG